RNAcentral lists this ribosomal RNA (461 nucleotides) under uncultured delta proteobacterium. RNAcentral describes it as "bacterial SSU rRNA". It matches the Rfam family "Bacterial small subunit ribosomal RNA", at positions 1072 to 1533 of the family's 1533-position model. Lineage: Bacteria; Deltaproteobacteria. The record is from RNAcentral.
GAGAGUGGGUUAGUCCGCACGAGCGCAACCCUGUCCUUAGUUGCCAGCACGUUAUGGUGGGGACUCUAAGGAUACCGCCUGGGACAACCGGGAGGAAGGUGGGGAUGAUGUCAAGUCAGUAUGUCCCUUAUGCCCAGGGCUACACACGUGUUACAAUGGCAAGUACAAAGGGUCGCCAACCCGCGAGGGGGAGCUAAUCCUAUAAAACUUGCCCCAGUUCAGAUUGGAGUCUGCAACUCGACUCCAUGAAGCAGGAAUCGCUAGUAAUCGUGGAUCAGCACGCCACGGUGAAUACGUUCCCGGGUCUUGUACACACCGCCCGUCACGCCAUGGAAGUCAGCAGUACCCAAAGCCGGUGGCCUAACCUUCGGGAGGGAGCCGUCUAAGGUAAGGCUGGUAACUAGGGCGAAGUCGUAACAAGGUAGCCGUACCGGAAGGUGCGGCUGGAUCACCUCCUUUCU